AAGUCGUAACAAGGUUUCCGUAGGUGAACCUGCGGAAGGAUCAUUACCGAGUGAGGGUCUCCGGGCCCGACCUCCCAACCCUGUGUUUACCCAACCCAACCGUGUUGCUUCGGCGGACCGGGACGCCCGUUCACCGGGAGUCACCGCCGGGGGAACGCCCGCGAGGGCUGCCCCUGGAGAGUCGUCCGUCGAUGGCCCACCUACCAAAAAUACUACAACCACAAACCAUGGACACAAUUAUUCUGAAUCACACUUUUGAUGUAACAAUCGAAAAAACAAAACUUUCAACAACGGAUCUCUUGGUUCUGGCAUCGAUGAAGAACGCAGCGAAAUGCGAUAAGUAAUGCGAAUUGCAGAAUUUCCGUGAGUCAUCGAAUCUUUGAACGCACAUUGCGCCCUUUGGCAUUCCGAAGGGCAUGCCUGUCCGAGCGUCAUUAUCCUCCCUCAAACCUCGCGUUUGGUGUUGGACCACGUCGGGGUUGAUCUCCAGACGGGUCCCAAAGACAAUGACGGCGUCCGUGGGACCCUCUUCGCACUGAGCUUUCCGGAGCACGCGUCGAGUUGCAAGGUCCCGGGGAGCCGGUCACACCUUUUUUACUUCUAAGGUUGACCUCGGAUCAGGUAGGGAUACCCGCUGAACUUAA
This 644-nucleotide ribosomal RNA is filed under the name uncultured fungus. RNAcentral describes it as "eukaryotic LSU rRNA". The stretch from base 280 to 434 matches the Rfam family "5.8S ribosomal RNA". Lineage: Eukaryota; Fungi. The record is from RNAcentral.